CCUACGGGAGGCAGCAGUGAGGAAUAUUGGUCAAUGGCCGUAAGGCUGAACCAGCCAAGUAGCGUGAGGGAAGACUGCCCUAUGGGUUGUAAACCUCUUUUAUGCGGGGAUAAAGGUGUCCACGUGUGGAUGUUUGCAGGUACCGCAUGAAUAAGGACCGGCUAAUUCCGUGCCAGCAGCCGCGGUAAUACGGAAGGUCCGGGCGUUAUCCGGAUUUAUUGGGUUUAAAGGGAGCGUAGGCCGGUCUUUAAGCGUGCCGUUGAAACUGGCGUUCUUGAGUGAGCGAGAAGUAUGCGGAAUGCGUGGUGUAGCGGUGAAAUGCAUAGAUAUCACGCAGAACUCCGAUUGCGAAGGCAGCAUACCGGCGCUCAACUGACGCUCAUGCACGAAAGCGUGGGUAUCGAACAGGAUUAGAUACCCCUGUAGUC
This 428-nucleotide ribosomal RNA is filed under the name uncultured bacterium. RNAcentral's name for it is "partial 16S ribosomal RNA". It matches the Rfam family "Bacterial small subunit ribosomal RNA", at positions 338 to 795 of the family's 1533-position model. The record is from RNAcentral.